RNAcentral lists this ribosomal RNA (562 nucleotides) under uncultured bacterium. RNAcentral describes it as "bacterial SSU rRNA". It matches the Rfam family "Bacterial small subunit ribosomal RNA", at positions 359 to 917 of the family's 1533-position model. The record is from RNAcentral.
GGAUUGANAUGGGGGCACCCUGAUCCAGCCAUUCCGCGUGAGUGAAGAAGGCCUUCGGGUUGUAAAGCUCUUUCGGCAGGAACGAAACGGUUACGGCCAAUACCCGUGACUAAUGACGGUACCUGAAGAAGAAGCACCGGCUAACUACGUGCCAGCAGCCGCGGUAAUACGUAGGGUGCGAGCGUUAAUCGGAAUUACUGGGCGUAAAGCGUGCGCAGGCGGCUUUUUAAGCCAGAUGUGAAAUCCCCGGGCUUAACCUGGGAACUGCAUUUGGAACUGGAAGGCUAGAGUGCGGCAGAGGGGGGUAGAAUUCCACGUGUAGCAGUGAAAUGCGUAGAGAUGUGGAGGAAUACCGAUGGCGAAGGCAGCCCCCUGGGUCGACACUGACGCUCAUGCACGAAAGCGUGGGGAGCAAACAGGAUUAGAUACCCUGGUAGUCCACGCCCUAAACGAUGUCAACUAGUUGUUGGAGGAGUGAAAUCCUUUAGUAACGAAGCUAACGCGUGAAGUUGACCGCCUGGGGAGUACGGUCGCAAGAUUAAAACUCAAAAAAAUUGACGGA